AAGUCGUAACAAGGUUUCCGUAGGUGAACCUGCGGAAGGAUCAUUAACACAAUUUUACUGUGAUAAAAUCCAUUGAAUUUUCGAAUUCAAUGGUAUCCACCCCAUUAUUGACGAACUUUUGUCUAGAUGUUUUAAAAAACAUAGAGCUCGUCUUUGUGUUUUUCAAAACAUUCUAAACCUUUUUCUCUACCCCAUCACAUCUUUUAACCCCUUUUACAACAUGCCUUAGACUGAAAUGAAAAUGUCUUUAUUAUCAAAACAAUGAUAAAAAAACAACUUUUAACAACGGAUAUCUUGGCUCUC
RNAcentral lists this unclassified non-coding RNA (303 nucleotides) under fungal sp. Its description in RNAcentral is "partial internal transcribed spacer region". The stretch from base 1 to 46 matches the Rfam family "Eukaryotic small subunit ribosomal RNA", at positions 1786 to 1831 of the family's 1831-position model. The record is from RNAcentral. Lineage: Eukaryota; Fungi.